Molecule: non-coding RNA, 368 nt
Organism: Leptonychotes weddellii (Weddell seal)
Lineage: Eukaryota; Metazoa; Chordata; Mammalia; Carnivora; Phocidae
Source: RefSeq, a predicted model, not a curated record
GGAGAGGACGCGGCUUUGAGAAGAGGCCGCCUGUCAGCUGCAGCCCCGAGGUUUUGAAAUUUUCCCUAUUUCAAUUCUCUAUGGCUCCUGAACUCUGCUACCUCUCAAGGGAGCUACUGAGCAGAAGCAGUCAAUGCACCAGCACGGUUCCCUCUGGCGCUGAUGGCCCCAGUGAAGGCUGGAGAUGAACCAGGGCCAUUAGGAACGCACUUCUGAACCAAGAAAGAAGGACCUGAUCCCUGCUUCCGCAAGCUGGCUGAUGUCUGUGAGCACCAACGAGCCCACAACAGGACCAGACCGGGCCCUACCACCUGGGCAGGAAGAACAAAAACCCUGGGAAGGAAGUGAGGAUGGAGAAGGAGAGCAGG